GCCGGGUGCAGUGGUGCACACCUGUAAUCCCAGUGGCUCGGGAGGCUGAGGCAGGAGGAUCACAAGUUCAAAGCCAGCCUCAGCAACGAUGAGUCACUGAGCAACUCAGUGAGUCCCUGUCUCUA
RNAcentral lists this small RNA (125 nucleotides) under Marmota monax (woodchuck). Lineage: Eukaryota; Metazoa; Chordata; Mammalia; Rodentia; Sciuridae. The record is from RNAcentral.